Molecule: long non-coding RNA, 3566 nt
Filed under: Zostera marina
Lineage: Eukaryota; Viridiplantae; Streptophyta; Magnoliopsida; Alismatales; Zosteraceae
Description: long non-coding RNA (ZMAR_LNC004167)
Source: RNAcentral
AGCCUCUUUGUGCCAAGGAGAUCCACGGCUUCAACACCACUGCAGGUGAAAAAUAUGCAAUUUUGAUUUGUAUUCAGCUAUUGAUUUUAGUUAUUUUCUUCGAUUACCAGAAUCAGCGAUGUUCCUUUCUCUCUUCUUCUUUCUCGGUUUACUUUCCCAAUCUUCUUUCUCAGCAUGGGUGAUUUUAUUUAUUAUUGUCAACUAUUCAAAACUAGACGAAAAAAAAAACCUUUACAGAUUUCUAAUUAAACUUCAGAACUUCUUCAUAUAGCUUCAAAGUUCAAAUUGGGGCUGCUUCAUAGUGGUUGGUUGUAGUUGCUUCUUUCCUUUGUAGUUGUUAAGCGUAGUAUUGCUGAAAAACAGAUGAAAAAACCCAGUGUGGCUUUGCCAUCUUUUCUCAAUUUUGGGAAAAACCCAUUCUUCAGCUCAACUGUCCACUUAUAAGUUCAUAUUUCGCAAGAAUAAUCUCCUAUCAAUCCAUAUUGUUUAUUGUAGUGUAUGCCAGACAUUGCUUUGCUUUCUUAGGUUGUAAUUCUGUUUUCUAACAAUCAAAAGAAAAAUGCUUAGUCAUAUGUGCAAAAAAUAAUGAAAACAGAUGAUGGGGCUACUUAGCUUUAUGUAAGAUGAUGAGGCUACUCGACUUUAUGCAAAAUGUAAUUUACACCUGUAGAUUGCUUCCCAUUCUAAAUAGUAACCAGUGAAUCUGUCACAACCAACAAACUGCAGUAACUAAUUCACAAUUAUACUAUAUUAUCAUUAAUAUAUUAAGUAUAUAUGGAACUUAUUACAAGUAAUAUUGAACAAAUAAACCGAGACACAAUUUUCAAUCUAACCAAAGUCCACAAUCCUCAAGUGUGAAAGACAUUCUCUGACCUUGUACAGACAAUAUUCUUUCCCUUUUUGGCAGAACAUAUGAUUUAUAGAACAAUCCACAAAAUUUUAUUCAAUAUUGGCACUUAACUUGCCUAUAUCUAACAUUCUAUAUUAAAAAAAAAAAUUGAAAUGCAAUAAUUAAAACAGAACAGCAAACAAACAAUAAAAAGAUAUAGUCUUCAAUGAAUGUAUUGAACCGAUCACAAGAUUAAAUGAGAUAUAGUUAGUUUUCAUAAAAUGUUCUAAUUUUCUUUAAAAAGCACCUACUAACUUGUCUCUUAUCUUUGUAAAUGAUAGAGUACCUAAAGGUUUUGUUAAGACAUCAGAGAGUUGUUCUUUAGUUGAGAUAUACUUAACAAAUAACUCUUUAUUUUGAACCCUUUCUCUGACAAAGUUGAAAUCAAUUCCAAUAUGCUUUGUUCUUGGGUGAUAUACUGGAUUAGCUGAAAGAUACAAAGCUCCAAUAUUAUCACACCACAAGGUAGGUACUUGUAUGUGACUACCAAGUUCUUUUAAUAGUGCCACAACCCAAAUUAACUCUUGAGUUGCUGUUGCCAGGCUCCUAAAUUCAGCUUCACAGCUGGAUUUAGAAACAGUGGGUUGUUUCUUAGAACUCCAAGAAAUCAAGUUGCCUCCUAAGAAUACUAAGAAUCCUCCUUGACUUCUACAGUCUGUUUUAUCUCCUGCCCAGUCACUAUCUGGAAAAACAUGUAUGGUUGGAUUCUUGACUGGUUUUAAAAUUAUCCUAUGAUUUAUUGUACCAGCUAGAUAUCGAAACAACUUCUUUACUUCUAUCCAGUGUUCUUCACAAGGAGAGGACAUGAACUGACAUACUUUGUUUACUGCAAAAGCAAUAUCAGGUCUUGUAAUAGAAAGAUACUGAAGGCUUCCCACAGCACUUCUGUAGAGCCUUGGAUCCUUAAUUGGACCUGGUUUUUUGUAGAUUAAACUUUUCUUAUAUAUGGGAGUUUUAGAGGGUUUGAUGUUACUAAAUCCAAAUUUAUUCAGUAAGUCUCUAAUAUACUUAGUUUGUGUAAGUUGAAGUCCAUUGUUUAUGUAUCUCACUUGUACUCCUAAGAAAUAUGAAGGCUUGCUCAUAUCCUUGACUCUGAAUUCCUUGUUAAGAGAUGAUAUAAUAUCAUCAAUUUCAGUGUCAUUUGAACCUGUGAGGAUGAUAUCAUCCACAUAAAUUAGGAAAAAUACUUUUCCUUUUGUUGUUAUUCUUGUAAACAAUGAAGGGUCAGAGAUGUUGUCUUGAAACCCUUGUUUAAUUAAGGAAUUUCUAAGUUUUUCAAACCACGCUCUAGGUGCUUGCUUUAGCCCAUAAAGUGAUUUUUGUGCCAUGUUUCUGAUUUCCAAAAUUAUUCUUGCUGGAAUGAUAAUUGUUUUUGGAAUUAUACCUUUGUUUAUUUGCAUAAUUGAUAGAAAAAGAAUUCUCUAAAGAUGGUUGAUUAUUCUUAGCCAUCCUUAUCUCAUGAUUUAAUAAAAACCCUUGAAUAUCAUCAACUGAUAGUGCUUCUUGCCCUGGCCUAGUAGUAAUGGCAGUGACAAGUGGGUCAUAGUCAGAUCCAAGGCCACCUAGAAUGAAGACAGCCAAGUCUUUAUCUGAGAUGCUAUCACCAGCUAGUGAUAGUGCAUUUCCAAUUUGCAUCAUCUUGGAAAUGUAUUCUUCCAUGCUAUUAUCUCCCUUCUUUGUUGUCUAUAAGUUAAUCUUAAUUGAAGAGUACGUAUUUGGGAGAGAUGCAAAAACCUUACCUAGAGUAUUCCAAACUCCUUUUGCUGUGGUGCACAUGCAUACUUUAGGCAACACAUCUUCAAGAAUUGAGGUCAUCAGCCACCCCAUCACAAGAUUAUCUUGUUGGACAAAUUCUUCAUAGUUAUAGCCUUCUAAAUUUCUUGGCAUAAUACCUUCUCUAUUUGGAAUUAAUGUCGGUGUCACCACAGUACUAUCAACAAAGCCUAGCAGCUUGCUUCCCCUUAAAACUGCAGCCACCUGAGCCCUCCAUAUAGCAUAAUUGUUUUUUGUUAACUUCACUGUUUUAACAUGAUACAUGUUAAUCACCGAUAAGGUUGGUCUUUGGGCAGAAGAGGAAGAUGGAGCCGAGAAAGAAUCCAUCAAAUUCUUUCUUGAAAGAUUGGAAAGGAAAGGGGGAAAAAAGUGGAAAGGAAACUAAUCGAAAAAGAAAAGAAAAAUGAUAACAAAAUAAAAAGAAAGAAACGAUAACAAAAGAAAGGAAAGAAAGAAACGGAAAGAAGAAGAAGAAAAAAUAAUAAUAAUAAUAAAAUAAACUCAAACCGUAGCCAACUCGUUACCAAUCCCGGAAAUAUGUUGAAACGAUAACAAAAUCGGAAGAAUAAGUUGAAACUUCUUUUAGAAGCUUCCAGAAAACAUCGCAGGAUGAUCCCUAAAUACGGAAGUGACGAGCCCCAAUAUUGGCCCCAAAUUACAAGGACAGCAGCAGCGUGUGUAAACCUGCUAAGAUGAAAGGGGAAAAAAAAUUAAAAAAUAAAAUCCUGCUAAGAUGACGUGUGUCAACCAGCUCUCGAUACCAUGUCAACUAUUCAAAACUGCAAUUCAUUCACUCAAUUUCUUCUUAAUACAUUGUUAACUUUAUACUAACUAAUAUUGUGAAUAUUGUUAAUAACACCUUUAUUUAUAUCUAAUGACAAUAUUAUCUAAUAAUUAUGAUAAA